This 209-nucleotide long non-coding RNA is filed under the name Musa acuminata (dwarf banana). RNAcentral's name for it is "long non-coding RNA (MACU_LNC010888)". The record is from RNAcentral. Lineage: Eukaryota; Viridiplantae; Streptophyta; Magnoliopsida; Zingiberales; Musaceae.
UCCAUGUUAGUUUCUUUUGCUUAAUUUUAUCUCCUAAGUUUUUUUUUGCUUAAUUUUGUCUACUUAGUUUCUUUUAUUUAACUUUGUCUCCAUGUUAGUUUCUUUUGCUUAAUUUUGUUUUAAUGUCAAUUUCUUUUACUUAAUUUUGUCUCAAUGUUUAUGUCAGUUUCUUAUUCUUAAUUUUGUUUCCAUGCCAAUUUCUUUCAUUU